This 802-nucleotide ribosomal RNA is filed under the name uncultured bacterium. RNAcentral's name for it is "bacterial SSU rRNA". It matches the Rfam family "Bacterial small subunit ribosomal RNA", at positions 62 to 866 of the family's 1533-position model. The record is from RNAcentral.
UCGACGAAGCCAUAAGAACGAUUCUUCGGAUGAAGUCUUUUGUGACUUAGUGGCGGACGGGUGAGUAACGCGUGGGUAACCUGCCUCACACAGGGGGAUAACAGUUGGAAACGACCGCUAAUACCGCAUAAGCCGACGAAUCCGCAUGGAUUCGCCGGAAAAGAUUUAUCGGUGUGAGAUGGACCCGCGUCUGAUUAGCCAGUUGGCAGGGUAACGGCCUACCAAAGCGACGAUCAGUAGCCGGCCUGAGAGGGUGAACGGCCACAUUGGGACUGAGACACGGCCCAAACUCCUACGGGAGGCAGCAGUGGGGAAUAUUGCACAAUGGGGGAAACCCUGAUGCAGCGACGCCGCGUGAGUGAAGAAGUAUUUCGGUAUGUAAAGCUCUAUCAGCAGGGAAGAAAAUGACGGUACCUGACUAAGAAGCCCCGGCUAACUACGUGCCAGCAGCCGCGGUAAUACGUAGGGGGCAAGCGUUAUCCGGAUUUACUGGGUGUAAAGGGAGCGUAGACGGCACAGCAAGUCAGAAGUGAAAGCCCGGGGCUCAACUCCGGGACUGCUUUUGAAACUGUUGGGCUGGAGUGCAGGAGAGGUAAGCGGAAUUCCUAGUGUAGCGGUGAAAUGCGUAGAUAUUAGGAGGAACACCAGUGGCGAAGGCGGCUUACUGGACUGUAACUGACGUUGAGGCUCGAAAGCGUGGGGAGCAAACAGGAUUAGAUACCCUGGUAGUCCACGCCGUANACGAUGAAUACUAGGUGUCGGGNGCCAAAGGCGUUCGGUGCCGCAGCAAACGCAAUAAGUA